CUCGCCGUCGUAACGUCGAUGGACGCAGGCCACUUCCGGCGUAGCCAUGGCGGCUAACGCGACCACUAACCCGUCGCAGCUGCUGCCUCUAGAGCUUGUGGACAAGUGUAUAGGAUCAAGAAUUCACAUUGUGAUGAAGAGUGAUAAGGAAAUUGUUGGCACGCUUCUAGGAUUUGAUGACUUUGUCAAUAUGGUACUGGAAGAUGUCACUGAGUUUGAAAUCACACCAGAAGGAAGAAGGAUUACUAAAUUAGAUCAGAUUUUGCUAAAUGGCAAUAAUAUAACAAUGCUGGUUCCUGGAGGAGAAGGCCCUGAAGUAUGAAUGGAUUUCCUUGACUUAUGCUGGAUUCUGUUUUGUCUUAUAAGGACAACAAAAUAGAAAAUUUUUUUUUAACCUUUUAAUGUUUGGAUUCUAUGAAGCUAAGUUUCCCGUUAAAGGGAAAUGCUUUGAAGAUGCAUUGUAAAUGCCCAUUUUUUAAGUUAAUCAUGAUUGUCUUGGAGAAAGAAGAACAGUUCGUUCUUUGAAGACUAAAAUAAAGGUGUUUUUGGUUAACUGUCAAUUUGUUUAUUAUACUGCAAUAUCCAGUGGAACAAAGCUUGUAGUUAUUUUGUCGCUUGCUUUCCUGUCAUUUUACUCCUAUUUGCUUCCUGAUUUACUUCAUCAUUCGAUUCUCAAACAACAAUUGUUCCAAACAAAAUGAUGAACUUUGCUUUUGAACAGGUGCAUUUAAAAAACCUGUAAUGAUUACUUAGAAAAUUCAGUUCAAACUCUGAUGCUUUGAAAUGAGGACUUUUCCACUGAACUCAAGUCCCAUUAACGCUUAUUAAAAACAAACAAGAAAAAUACCCAGGUAAUGUAUACACAUUAUAGAAGUGAAGAUAAGUCAAAAGGAAAAUAUUCAUCACACUCUGCUGUAUAUCCUUUUAGACUUUCUCAGUACAGUCUUGGUACACAUUUUACUUUUACAAAACUUACUCAUCCCGAAUAUACUGUUUUGUAGCCUCCAUUUAAGACUUUUUGAAUUUGAAUGGUGAACAUCUUUCCAUGUCAAAUAUUUCAGCAACAUUAAUACAGGCAUAGUAUUCCAUUAAGUGGAUUUAUAAUAACUUAUUUAGCUUAUUCUUAUGGGUCACUAAGUCCAACUAAGUCUAUACAUUUUUAUUUUUCUUAGAAUAAGUUCAUAAAUGUGUCAGGUCAAUUCUAUUGUCAUGUUGCCAACAAAAAAUUUGUACCAACCUACACUUCGUUGUUGUUGUUGAGGAAGAUUGGCCCUGAGCUAACAACUGUUGCCAGUCUUCCUCUAUUUUGUAUGUGGGAUGCUGCCACAGCAUGGCUUGAUGAACGGUGUUUAGGUCCAUGCCCGGGAUCCAAACCCAUGAACGCCGGGCCACCAAAGUGGAGUGUGCAAACUUAAGCACUGUGUCACCGGGUUGGCCCCUCAACCUACACUUGCUGGCAGUUUUUCAUAGUACCAUUUACAUGCUUACCAACAUUGGCUAUAUUCUCUCUUCUCCUGUCUUUGCCAUUGUGAUAGGCAAAACCUCACAUGUUAGAAAUUUUCUUUAUUAAUUUUGAACUCAUUUAUAUUUUGUGAAUUAGUUGUGUGAGGCUUUUGCCAUUGAGACGUUUGUGUUUUCCUUACUGAUUUGUUAGAAUUCUUAGUAGGUUACUCUUGAAUUUUGCAGAUAACUCCCCUAGUAUGUAGUUUGCCUGUCAGUGGUACUUUUUUUCACAUAAAUAAUGUAUUUUUGUGUAGUCAUUGGUUGGUCUCCUCUUUUAUGGUUUUUGUCUAUGGUACACAGGUGGUGGAUCAGGAAGACUGUCUUUGCUCUGAUUAUAUGUAUUUUUGGUACUAUAUAUUUUGUUUCAUAUAAAUCUUGAAUCCGUCUUCAAUUUUCGUGUUUCCACGUGAAAAAAGGGCUCAACUUUAUUUUCCAAAAAACAAAGCACUGAUGUAUGGUCUUUUUUGACUUUCAUGGUGUAAGUACUCCUUCUGUGGCUGGUUUCAUGCUGCCAAGGGUAUAACAGCUGGCCUGCAGACUUCCUAAAGAGUGAAGAGUUGGUUCUCAGGAGCCAGUAGGAGCCUGUUACUCCAGCCACUGCCUCUGACCCUUGUUGGGGUGGCAGGGGAAUGCUUUCCCUCCUCUUGUUUCUUUCCCUUUGGAGGGAGGUUAAAUGAUGUAAUGAUACUACACUUUUUCUACCCUUUUACUCAUCCUCUGGGAGCUGGGUAGUCAUGCUCAGCUCUUACUGUUUUUCCAUCUAGGAGUUAGUAGCCUGCAGGGAGCACAUGUUAAUUCCAGCAUGCUAUGAGUUUUAGAGGAGCCUGACCUCACUUAGGGAGGCGUACAGUUACCUAGUCUGUGGCUGGGUGGAUGAGUUCACUCUGGGGUUCAGUAAGAGGAAGUUCACUUGCCUACAGAUAAGCUGUCUCUUAAUCUGGUCUUUAGCAGUAAUAAAGAUGAUGAUAUGACUCUCAUUUGCUUACACUCUUGCCUUCUAUCACAAUUCGUUUAGAUUGGGUACUAUUCUAAAUAAGGGUUUCUUAACCUUGGCACUAUUGACAUUUUUGUCUGGAUAAUUCUUAGUUGUGUGGUCCCUCCUGUGCAUUGUAGAAUGUUUAGCAGCAUCUCUGGCCUCUACCCACAAGACGCCAGUGGCAUCCUUCCUUUUCUUCCCUGCUUCCCCCAGAUAUUGCCAAAUGUCCCUUGAAGGCAAAACAAUCACCUGUGGUUGAGAACAACUGUUCUAAAUAAUAGGGAUGCUAUUUACUGGACCCUCCAAAAUCUAAUAUUUGGUGUAUGGGCGAGGAGCAUUGGAUCUAGACCAUGAGUAAAAAUUAGGGAGAAAAUGCUGCGAUUGAGGAUUCCAGCAGGGUAAUAUGGUUGGUUUAAAGUUGAAAUGAUGUAUUUGGUGCUAACCAUAUAGGGUUUUCACUUUGGCAGGUUGCUGGUGAGUGUCUCUUUAUAGAGGUGGUGUUUCAUUUCCAUAGAGGUAGGGCUGUAUGUGCUGGGCCCUAAAGCGAAAGUGUGGCCUCCGGAAAAGUGAGACCAGAAAAGGCGGAAGCUAUGCUGGCAUUGGUGACUUGAUCAGUUUUUCUCAAACUUUGGUUUGAAAACUGGUAUCAGAAUCACUUGGAGAGCUACUAAAGAAUGCAGAGGCCCAGGCCCACUGAAGUAGGAUAGGGCCUCCGGCCUUUGUAUUUUUAGCAACUUGCCCAGUUCCCCAGGUAAUUCUGUUCCUUACCAAAGCCCUAGACCCACCACACUGGAGUGUAGGCUACUGCAGGUGUAGCUUUUUAAAGCAGGUAUGACUGAAGCAAGGAUUUGAUAAUAGACAUGUGAAUCUCUGUAUAGAUAUUUUAUACAUUAGUGGAUGGAACUGUAUUUGCCACAUUUAAACUGCAAGGCAGCUAAGUUCUGUGUGUGCUGUAGAGCACUAGUGGAGUUCUAGUUUGAAUUGUUAGUGCCAGGCCUUGGCAGGCAGUGAUGCAUCUCCUGCCCCAAGAGCCAGCCUUCGGUGUGGAACAACGAGGGACCCGUUGUGGGGCAACGUUGGAUUCACAUGGCUUGUCCUUAGGCUUGAGAGUCACUUCCCAUCAGUGCAGUCUCAGUUUUGUUCUCGAGGGUUGAUUUGUUGAUUAUACAAAGUGUAGUCGUGUCUUUAGAUUUCAGGGUCCAAAAUUGCACCUUCACCCCUAGAGAUGAGGUGGGAUUUUGCCAGUAGAGAAAAAAAUGUGAGCCCUUAUUGUAGAGAGAAUAUGCCAUCUUCUAGAAUUGAAGGUGAGAAAAAUUUCAGUGAAAUUAUUGUAAACCAAGGGAGGAAGGCCUGUGCUCGGGGCAUUUUAUUUUUCAAGUUUUAUUUUGUAGCGGUUUCACAUUUAAUGAAGAAAAGUUGCAAGAAUAUCAGAAAGAGCUCUUACAUACCCUCACAGAGACCCCACUCAAGUUUUUUGCCCCAGCAAUGUCCACAGCGAAAGGAUCCAGUCCUGGGUCAUGCGCUGUACUCAGUUGUCAUGUGUUUCUAGUCUCCUUCAAUCUGGAAGAGUUCUUCAGUCUUCCCUUGACCUUCAUGACCCCAGAAUUUCUGAAGAUUGCAGACUAGCCAUUGUAGAGUGUCCUUCAAUUUGGGUUUGCUUGAUGUUUCCCCGUGAGUAGGCCCCAGGUUUAUCGCAGGAGUAAAGCUAUUCUUCCCAAUGAGUCUCAUCGGGUGGCACAUAAUAUCGACGAGUUCCAUUUCUGAUGGUGUUAACUUUGAGCUUUGAUGGGUGAUGUUCAGCAGCAGUUUCUGUUCAGGAGUCUGCUGGUGUGAUUGUUCAGUUGAAACAAAUGUAGAAAGGGGAGAAGUCUUACCCAGGAAAGAGAUUGCCAGAGUUAAGCCACUUCAUCAGCAACAAAAGCAGAAACCAUGCAGCAGGACUAGACUAAUAUUCCUGUUGUUGAGUGAGGCCGUGUCACUGGACAAAGCCCACCUUAAUGCAGCACUAAGGUACCCAAAACUCAAACUCAUUUCCAAGGGUACAUAGAAAUUGGGAGGUUUAAAAUAUGUUGGAUGAGGAAGACAGGCUGUCUCAAAUAAGACCUGGUCUGUACCUGUGCAAAUUUCUCAACUCUGCAAGAAAAGCAAUGUUAUUGCGUAUGCCAGUUGCUGAGAAAGAGAGGAGACUGUUUUCAUAGAUGGAAUUUCCCCCAGAUGUGGGCAACAUAGUGCCAUAAUUAGCCUCUUAAGGUAACUAACCAACUGAAUUAAAUAAGCAAUCCAGUUGAAGUUCUAAAGUCAUGGUCUCUGCCAUCGUCCUGAGCACUGCUAAGUUUUAUGUUAUAAGGGUAUAAUUUUACCUAGGAGAACCUUUUUAGGAGCUGUUGGGUGCACAACUGCAUGAAUAUGCUGAACACCACUGAACUGUAUGUUUUAAAACAGUGGAUUUUAUGGUACAUGAAUUAUAUCUCAACUUUUAAAAAAGCAAGACCUACUUGAAUCAUAUCUAAUGUAACUUCUAAGGCUUUAAAAGAAAUACUGGCUGUGGCUGUUGAAAGGACCCUGCCCUCACCCAAGCGUCAAAGCCCCCUCUGGUUAAGAUUGAACACAAGAAUUUGGGGAAGGUUGUUUUUGAUCUGGACUUUGGUCUUUUAACUCACAAAGACACGGAACUUUAGUUUUGGAUUUUAAUUGUAGUGGUCUUUAACAUUUUGGAUUUUUAUUUGCAAGAUUUAAUUUGUGAACCUUGAUUUCUCUCUGUAAAUUUAAUUAUGGGAGGGGAUGGUAUUUAAAUUUGGGUGUCUCUAAGUUGUUGGCGUUUUAUUGUCUAAACUUCUUUUGGCUUUGUUGACUUCUACUCAGACUUUAAGAGUAGGUUCUACCACUUCUCAAUGCUUCUGCAUGACAGAUCAUGGAGACCUCAGGGUGCUUUUCCAUAAUACUGUCUUGAAUAGCUGCUCCCUUCUAAAGAGAAUAGCCCCAAACAGUUCAUGCUGUGCAAAGUUCUGGUUUCCAGGGAAACAAAUCCUGUUACACUGUUGGACCAGAAACUAGAGUCUGGGCCGUCACUACCACCACGAGCGCCACCAUCAUCUGAAUAGCUUUUAUUUUUUAAUUCUAUAAACUGAUGUUAGGGAUAUUCAAGGAUCUGGUUCUUGAGUUUUUGUGAACAUGUGUUUUAUUAUCAAUGAAUUAAUGAUUUAAUCAAUACAAAUGUAGAAACAAAUGAAGAAAAAGACACUCAAAUACAGACCAAUGGUGAAGACUCGUGACAUAGGAGUCAUGGAUGAUGAAAGUACAUGUCUGAAACUCUGAGGUCCAGCAUGAAGUAUUAGUCUUAGUAUUAGCAAGGAAUUAAUCUAUUCCUUCUAUUGAAACUUUCUACAGAGAGACGCUAGGAGUAUUCAAAGAUCAUAUUCUUGUAUUGAUUUUAUAAAUAUAGAUUUGUUAUGAAUUGAAUAAUGAUAGAAC
RNAcentral lists this long non-coding RNA (5950 nucleotides) under Equus caballus (horse). RNAcentral's name for it is "lncRNA (ENSECAG00000049370.1)". The stretch from base 5728 to 5801 matches the Rfam family "Small nucleolar RNA SNORD113/SNORD114 family". The record is from RNAcentral. Lineage: Eukaryota; Metazoa; Chordata; Mammalia; Perissodactyla; Equidae.